Molecule: ribosomal RNA, 253 nt
Filed under: uncultured bacterium
Lineage: Bacteria
Description: partial 16S ribosomal RNA
Rfam family: Bacterial small subunit ribosomal RNA
Source: RNAcentral
UACGUAGGGUGCAAGCGUUGUCCGGAAUUAUUGGGCGUAAAGAGCUCGUAGGCGGUCUGUUGCGUCGGCUGUGAAAACCCGGGGCUCAACCCCGGGCCUGCAGCCGAUACGGGCAGACUAGAGUUCGGCAGGGGAGACUGGAAUUCCUGGUGUAGCAGUGAAAUGCGUAGAUAUCAGGAGGAACACCGAUGGCGAAGGCAGGUCUCUGGGCUGACACUGACGCUCAUGCACGAAAGCGUGGGGAGCAAACAGG